GCAACGUAGCCGGAAGCUGGUGGCGGCUGGUGGGCGACCGGGCGCAUCCUCAUUGCAGUGCGGCGGCCCUACCCCGGCCCUGGCCUGACCCCGGCGGCCCUGCCCGCCCCUCCCUCCAGCAUCAUGGCCAGCCCAAGAACCAGGAAGGUUCUUAAAGAAGUCAGGGUGCAGGAUGAGAACAACGUUUGUUUUGAGUGUGGCGCAUUCAAUCCUCAGUGGGUCAGUGUGACCUACGGCAUCUGGAUCUGCCUGGAGUGCUCGGGGAGACACCGCGGGCUUGGGGUGCACCUCAGCUUUGUGCGCUCUGUUACUAUGGACAAGUGGAAGGACAUUGAGCUUGAGAAGAUGAAAGCUGGUGGGAAUGCUAAGUUCCGAGAGUUCCUGGAGUCUCAGGAGGAUUACGAUCCUUGCUGGUCCUUGCAGGAGAAGUACAACAGCAGAGCCGCGGCCCUCUUUAGGGAUAAGGUAGAGAUGGGCCCGAUUCACUCUUGCCCAUGGUGUGGGGCUGCUCUGCCGUUUGUGGCAGCUGGACUGUGGCCUUUAGUGGUUCUGGAGU
This 556-nucleotide small RNA is filed under the name Pan troglodytes (chimpanzee). RNAcentral's name for it is "retained intron". The record is from RNAcentral. Lineage: Eukaryota; Metazoa; Chordata; Mammalia; Primates; Hominidae.